AUGAUGGGCAGAUCAAGCUGCCUCCCCAGGACGAUGAUGUGCUUCUGAGAGUUGACUUUGUGAGGGAAGUCGAUGAGCUGCUGAAAGAAGUUGAAGCUGAGCAAGAAAAGAGUAAGCUGCACACUGGAUACGACCCGGAGUCUGUUGCGACCAUGUUGAAACAGCAAGAGAAGCUGCGGACUAUACGUCAAGUGGAAGCUCUCUUGGAGUUGGCAGCCACCCUGAAAUGGUGAGGACUGAACAGUAUCGUUUACUCUCUUCUGCGUAGACCCUAGAAGGCAUCGACUUGCCUGGAUGGUUCCACUAGCUGUUUCUUUGUGGUUUCUGCUAGUUAGAGCUUAGAAACUGUUAACUAUUCAGAGUAGAGACAUGCCAUUCCUCUUCCGCAAAAAAGAAAAAUGUAUACAUUAUAUGCGUGGAGAACUGGAGAUACGUAGUGAUGUACAUUUGCACCAUUGAUAGUGGGUUCCUUGCAACUGGAUAUAUUUGCACUGGUGGCUGCCGCACUCAUGGCGGCAAAGGUAGGAGGGUAUUCCGGUGCUUGUAACGCGAGCUAGUACAAGCCAGCAAGCUCUGUGUCUGUAUGACCAGAAAAAAGGGCAAAUUGCUGGCCUUCUAAAGUUCUCAAUUGGCUUUAUAAUUUGUAAAUCUGAUCUUCAAACUGAAAAAUGAGGAGUCGUCGUGGGAAAAACCCUGAGUAAGGCACUGCACAUUGCAAGAGCUUGUAAAAGUAAUUGCAGUUUUGCAUCCUUUUGGAAAUCUCAUAAGCUAGGACACUGUGCAUCCAUUAAGCAUGGUCUGUGCUCCAUGUGCUUACUGCACCUGAUCGUGCAAUGCUUGAGUUGCUCACAUGCACACCAUUCUCCUGGCAUUGCAAGUUAAAAGGCAACACAGUGAGGUUGCUGGCGAGCAAUACUGAGUUUACCGAAGGAAUGCAAUAGCUCCCACCGCUGAGUCUAACUAGCUAGACCAAGGUUCGGGAGAUAUGAGCGACAGUAGAUCUAGGCAGCCGGUGAUCGUCUAUUUAGGCUUGGGAUACAUCUGGAAUACGAGUCUGCCAAAUUCUGAAGCUGUUACUUUCUCAUGGCUGCCCUGUCAAUUUACGUUGUUGCAACUUGCAAUGCCGCUGGAUCUUCGUAUAUGCGCGAAACCAAGUCGGCUCGAUUAUUCUCUAGGCUCGCCACUGGUAGUCUGGUACUUGCAUUUUUGUUGUUAGCGCCUUAGCGGUAUCAGCAUGAUUUUGGUAUCCUUCUCUGCUACUAGUCUUGCUCUUCUCAGAUGUUGCAGACAAGGUGCAAACAACGUCAGUUUUACAUCUCUUAGGGCCAUCAACAUGGCUGUUCCAUGGAAGUUGCUUCACCACUGCAAAGAUCCGUAGAGGGCAAUAGUAUUGAGAGCCGCUCAACUGUGAGACCUAGAAUAGCAACUCUCAUACGAAAACUCACCGGAGAAGAGGAUGGCUAGAUGCAGUCACUGCACCACUAUGAGUCCAAUGAGACGAGCCGCACUCAUAAAUUAAACCUGAGUUCUCUUUCUUAGAAAAUUGGAGAGCGCAUAUACCGCAUUAACUUGCAAAAANNNNNNNNNNNNNNNNNNNNNNNNNNNNNNNNNNNNNNNNNNNNNNNNNNNNNNNNNNNNNNNNNNNNNNNNNNNNNNNNNNNNNNNNNNNNNNNNNNNNNNNNNNNNNNNNNNNNNNNNNNNNNNNNNNNNNAGUAUCAUAAAUACAUAAAUCUAUAUAUUUAAUAGAAGAGUUUUGUUACAUAAUUGAAAUCAAUGAGAGCCUAUAUAAAUAGUGUGGCAGCCCAUAUUGAGCAUGAAAUCAACGGUUAAACAUCCAGUUACAUGGAUGCCACUCAAUUCAUUCAUGAAAGCUUGGGCAUCAUUGUUCAUUUGCUCACUACAAAGGUAAAGGAAGAACUUAGCAAUCAAUAUCGAACAAUGCAUCACUAUACUAAUCAAAUGCAAACAAUAAAACGAAAAGAGGAUUUUAUUUUGCCAUUCGAGCAUUUACUCGAGCAUGUAGCAGCGUCUGAGUCCAUCUCGUCCUCAUCCACCAGCGGUGGAGGGGUUGCCUGUGUGGCAACAAGAGGUGGGGUAGCACUCACGGGAACCGCGGCAGGUCGAGGGGGAAGCGAACAGGCGGCCGCAUUCUUGUUUUUCUUCGCCAGCGCCGCCGUGUUGACCACUGCCUUUUUCGUCACCCAAUAUUCCCUUUUGCUAGUCUACUUCACCACAAUCGGUAUGGUGGCCACGUCGAAGGGACUGUCGCCGACCAUCGUUGAUGCUUUGUUGUCGAUGAGGUUCCUCCCCUGCUGCCGCCUUUUCGGUGAUUGCACCGCCGAAUUCAUGGCCGCCGGUGGUCUCUGGCGCCGGUGUCCAAGGGUGCGGCGUGGGGACGGUACCCAUUCGGCCUGUCGUCGGGGGAAGGGGACGCCUGGCGACGGUGUCGUGGUGGGCGGGAAGCGUCGAGGUGAGCGGGAGAGCAUGGGAGUUUUAGUCUGCCGAGCGGCGUGGACUAAAUUUGAGAGAAGGGGGAGAGGCAAGUUUAGGGGGUCAAAAACUAAAUUAAGAAAAGUUUUGGGUUUAGGGGAUAUGCUAGUUUGCUCUCUUUGGUCCUAAUAUCACUUUUGCCCCUCGAAUUUCAGUUUUAGGGAAUCUGAUAGAGAUGCCCUAACCCGAUGUCUUCUUGUAACGUAGUGAUUGCCUACUUGUUUACUCUCACGCAAGAUAUAAAAUGGUAAGAAAAUGAUGUGUGUGUUUUGGNNNNNNNNNNNNNNNNNNNNNNNNNNNNNNNNNNNNNNNNNNNNNNNNNNNNNNNNNNNNNNNNNNNNNNNNNNNNNNNNNNNNNNNNNNNNNNNNNNNNNNNNNNNNNNNNNNNNNNNNNNNNNNNNNNNNNNNNNNNNNNNNNNNNNNNNNNNNNNNNNNNNNNNNNNNAAUGUACAGACCAAGCAGCAUACUUGCUUUCAGAAACAACGCAGUGCUGAUGUAGUAAGUACACCACAUGUGAUAAUGACAUGACAUGUUUGAAACUUGAAAGAUGAAACAAAUUAGGUAUAAGACCUUAUUGCUUUUGAAGAGAGAAGAUACAAGUAAUAAUGCAACUUGAAGAGAUAGUAACGAUUUUGGGCCACUUCUUCUAUAAAAGGGACACAUCGACUAAGAGAGGACACCGAUCAAAGAGAUCAAAGAACGAGAGUUGUGAGAAUAAUCAGCAAAACCAACAGAAUGGGGUGGUGAAAUGUUGGGUCACUGCUUGUUCCUCUAGCUGAUAAUCUCUAGCUUGAUACCAGGCUUUGGAGGCAUUUGGAAUUGGCAGAUGCUAGGCGUAAGCCGGAUGAUAACAACAACUUAUCAGCCGCCUUGCUAAUCGUCCGAUCAUACACAUCAUAACCGUUCGCUUGGUGUCUCACGGAUUGCACUUCCCGUCAGCAUUUUCCCUCUCGCGCAGGCACCAUCAUGCAUCGCCCAUGGUAGCGCUCCAAGCACAUCUUCCAGCUAGGCAGUAGCGGCUGGGACACCACCGGAGCUGCGAUGCAACGGCUGUCGGAGUUGUGAUACAGCGAGCGUCGACGCCGCCGGAGCUGCGAUGCAGCGGCCAUCGACGCCGCCGGAGCUGUGAUGCAGCGGGCACCGGAGCUGCGAUGCAGCAGCCGUCGACGCCGUCGGAACUGCAAUGCAGCGGCCAUGACGUCGCCGGAGCUGCGAUGCAGCGGCCGUCGGAGCUGCACUGCCGAGCUGCGAUGCAGCGGCCGUCAACGCCGUCUGACCUGCAGUGCAGAGGCCACGACGCUGCCGGAGUUACGAUGCAACGGCCGUCGGAGCUGUGAUGCAGCUGUCGUCGACGCCGCCGGACCUGCAGUGCAGCGGCCACGAGGCCGCCGGAGCUGCGAUGCAGCGACCGCCGGAGUUGCGAUGCAGAGGGCGUCAAUGCUGGGUUUGCGGCAGCUUGAUUCGGCACGCUCGUCGGCACCUGGGGCUGUUGGAACUUGGAACACAAGGGCGUCACUAGUGGUCGUUGUCUGCCCCAUGGAGCAGCUCAUGCGGGGUAGCAGCAGCCUAGCCACUACCUAGCAAUAAUCACUUAAGACUGCCAUCAUAUCCUUAUUCAGACUUUUCUCAGCAAUUGUACGUAUAUGCGUCUUGUUGAAAACUGUUUUGAGAAUAAUCCAUCAGUAGAGUCUUCAUCAUCCAUCGUUGAGGCUCUGCGAGGAGAAAACACAAACCACAACAAAAAUAAAAACGUUGUAGUAACUAUGCAACAAGAGUAGUAGACCAACUAGAUAGAAAACACACUAUCUCUACAUUGCCACUACUUGCUGAAACACAAAUUGCUAGAUAAAAAACCAUCACCUCUACAUCUGCAUAUUACCAACAAAACAAAUAAAACACAUCACCCCUGGAUAUAAACCCCCACCUCUACAUUUGCAUAUUACCGAUAAAACAAAAGAACACAUCAUCCCUGAAUAUAAUACCCUACUGCAUGUAUGUCAUCGAUUAGCCACUGCCCACUGAUAACAAAAAAUAAGAAAAAACACACUGUCUAGCAGUAAACAUGCAAAGAGGUAAACCUGCUGAUGAAACAAAGUUAGUAAUGAAUCGUUAUCACAUCAUGUAGCACACCAUGCAUGUAGUCGCAAGCCUCAUUUUUUGACAAAGGGGGUCCUAGAAAAAUGAACAAAAAAACCACUAGAGUCUGUGUUGCACUGAAACACCAUCACUCUCACUUGCGUAGAAUCAAGUCCAUGACUAGAAAACAGAAAACAAAAAGCACAUCCCAGUCUGGACAACAAAACAUUCCUGCUGUUGUGUGCAAACUGCAAAUCGCUGCUCUGAAAUGAACACAAAACUACUAGAGUCUAUGCUACAUAUGAAGCACCACUCCCAGUUGCGUAGAAUCAAGCCCACUACUAGAAAAAAGAGAACAAAAAGGUACAUCCCAAUCUGGACAACAAACAUUCCUGCUGCUGCUUACAAUUAGUGCUCUGAAAAUUAAAUAAAGAACACUAGAUUCUGUGCUACAAAUGAAGCAGCACUCCCAGUCUGAACUCUGAAGAACAUUCCUGUUGUUGUGAAACAGCAGAUCAGAUCACCUCUCACAGUGGAUUUGCUGCGCUGGCUGUGGAUUCGCUAAUGUAAAACAAAGCAAAUUCGUCACACACACGAUCUAUCCAGCAACCACCCCCUGACCUUAUCGUCCCUGACCUAAAGGCUCCCAACGAGCCCCUCCGCCCCACAAUCAUCUCGCUGUCAAGUCCCCUCCGCCCCUAGAGCGCCGGUCCUCGAUCUCCCACGUACCACUGUGAAUUUGGAGGGGGUCGUUGGGAGCCUUUAUCCUGUACUGAGACCUAUCAUUUCGGUGUGAUUUGGGGGCGGGUGUGGAAUACCUGUGCGGCGGAGCGUCGUCGUCGAUGCUGUCAGUUGUCGCCGUGCGCGCCUCCACUUCCCGUCGCCGUCGCUUCGCCGCUCCGGAUGCCGUCACGUCGCCUCUCGCGUCAGCUGCUGCCUGGGUGGCGCCCGGAUCUGAGUCCUCUGCUUCGCUAUCCGCGAGACACCACGCGAUUGGAACAAGCCCGUGUUGCCAACGAGAGUAUCCAGGCGGGCACGUGAGAGAAUCCAGCGCCGCACGAUCAAACCCGAUCGGACGGCUCGCGGGGAGGCUUGCGGCAGCCAGAAAUCAAUCAGUCUAAAUAAAGAGUUCUCCUUUGGAAUUUAGCUAUCCUGUGAGCGUUUCCUCCGACUAUGCAUGGCGUCGGUGGUAUGUGGAAAAUGAAACCAUACUACCCCGCUCAUGAUUUUCCAACUUGGAUAAAAGGUUACAAUUCUAUGGUACUGCUACAUGGCGUCUAAUUAAGAAACACGGGCGGCCAUGCGUGGCGAAGCGCUCUAUCACAUUAGUACUGUUCAGUUACUCACUUGGUCAGGAAAUAUUUGCCAUUGACUUCAGCAAUGGGAUGGUAGAAAAUUAUGCUAGUUGUUAGGGUGAUGUAAUGUCAACCUAGAGUUUUCAAGGAAUUGACGGGUCACAUGUUUGGCCUUUGGGGUUUAUGGUCUUUGCGGCUGGUUGUACAUUGUAACCAAUGAAAAAAUAGCGUGCUAUAUGACAAAAUAGCAUGGGCCUUAAAUAUGCUAUUAGCAUAUGCUAUAUCGCGCCAUAGCGUGCUAUUAGCAAAACAUUGUACAUCAAUUUAUUUAGCAAGACAUUUCUCAGAAUGAUAUAGCGCUAUUUUUUUCACUGACUGUAACAUUACUUUUGUUGUACAUGUCCGCUUAUUUAGGAUCGCACGACGUCAUGGUCUGCGUGCCUAUUUGUAAGGCAUCCCGUGCUCCUCUUUGGCUCUUUCCAUGUAUAAGACUCUGUACUCUGUAACAGUUUCAUUAGCAAGGCAAGAGAUAGAGUAUUCUCUCCCGCUAUAGCUAUAUUUCAGUGGGCUGAAAAAAAACAUUUAGGGUCAGUCGAUUUUGUUUUUUCAAAUUGUGCACACACACGUAUACUACCUUGCAUGCAGCCAGUCAGUGGUGAAUCUAGUAGGACAUUGGAGGGUAGGCUUAAAACACAAAUUUCCUAAGUCUAACUAGCAAAUGUAUUGCAAUUAUUGCAUGUAAACCACCAGAAUAUACUUGUCAAAUGGUAUGUUUAGUUUAAAUAGGAUUUUGGAGGGUAGGCUUAAGCCUAUUGAAGCCUCCCUAGUGGAAUCGCCACUGCAGCCAGUGCGUGCAACAUGGGUGACACACGGCCGAUGGCACUAAUUGGGGAGUUAGUGGAGAGUAAUUGAGAUCAAUCUAACAAGCUCGUUUUAGUUUGAAUUAAAAGUUAAUUGUAUGAAUUUCCUCUGUCAUGUCAACGUACAAGUCCGAAUGUGUUUUCUAUGUGUCUUCUUUGUUGUUUUUCAUUCAGUUUUUCUUUGUUUGUGUGUGCGUGUGUGCCUGUGUGGGUGUGUGUCCGUGUGUGGGUGUGUGCGCAUGCGUGCGUGUUGAGGGAGAUGACCCCAUCGAUGUAAAUGCAAUUUAUUUUUGACAUAUUGAGAGACGAUUAAUCUUCAGCAUUGAUGUUCUGUUAUGAACAUAGAGUAUAACAUGAAUGUCUUAAUGCAAAUUAUUUAAUUAGUGUGUAAAUUAUUUUGAGAUCUUAGAUGUAUACCAAUGCCACAGAUUAAUUCUUUCUUAGACAACUAUUUUUCUGUUUAGUUUAUUAUUUAUUUCUUUAUUCUUAAAGUGUAAUGCCAAUGCCACUAAUUCAUUUUUCCUUAGAAAACUUUAUUAUUUUGAUUUUAUUUCAUUAUGUUUCUUCCUUAAGGUAAUACUAAUGCUACUAAUUCAUUCCUUACUAGAGAACUUUAGUUUUGUGAAAAAUCCAAUUAUAUGCUUAUUCUUUCAUAUUAUAAAAAAGCAUAAUUUAUGUGUAAAUAGUGUGCAAUAUUUUUUCAAUUUUUUCAUCUUUUUCAUUAUUUUUAUUUUAUUUUAUUUUUAAGGGUAAUACUAAUGACACUAAUUCAUUUCAUCUUACAUAACAUUUUUUGCAAAAGUUCCAUUUUUACAUGCCUAUUCUUGCAUAUUAUGAAAAGAUGCAAAUUAUGUGUAAAUUAUGUGCAAAUUUAGUUAUUAUUUCUUUUGAGUUUCUUUUGCGUUUUAUUUCUACUUGGAAGGUAAUACCAAUGUCACUAAUUCAUUCUUACUUAGUAAACUUUAUUAUUUGGAUUUUGUUUGAGUUUUUCUUUCAUUUCUUUCUUCAUUAAGGGUAAUACCAAUGCUAGUAAUUCAUUACUUGUUCCGAAACUUUUUUUUAGAGAAAAUUUCACUAGUACAUGCUUAUUCUACUGUAUUAUAAAAGAGUGCAAUUUCUGUGUAAACUGUGUGCAAAAGUUGACAUUUAUUAUUAUUUUAUCUCCUUUUUCCUUUAAGGGCAAUACCAAUGACACCUUCCAAAAUGGGUAAUACUAACGGCACUUAUUUAUUUUAUUAAAAAAAAUCUUUGCAAAAAAAUCCACUAUUACAUGCUUAUUAUUGCAUUUAUUAAAAUGCGCAAUUUUGGUGUAAACUGUGUGCAAUUUUCGUCAUUAUUUGUUUUAGUUAUUUCAUUUUUUUCAUAUUUAAGGGUAGUACCAAUGCCACUAUUUCAUUCUUAGAAAACAUUUUUUUCCCAAAAUUCCACUGGUAUAUAAUUAUUUCUACAUGAAAAAAAUGAAUUGUCUAUGUAAAUUGUGUGCAAAUCUUGUCAUUAUUUGUUUACAUUUUUAUCUUCUUAAAGUGUAAUACUAACGACUUUAAUGUAUUUUUUUUCUGAAAACUUCAUUAUUUUGAUUUUGUUUUAUUUUAUUUUUCUUCUUCUUUAUGGGUAAUACUAAUGGCACCAAUUCAUUCCAUCUUAGAGAACUUUGAUUUCACAAAAAACCCUCUGUUAUAUGCUUGUUCUUACAUAUUGUAAAUAAUUGUAAUUGAUGUGUAAAUUGUGUGCAAAUUAUGUCAUUAUUUGUUUUAUUUUGUUUUUUCUAAACGGAUAAACCAAUCCAAUUCAUGCAUUCUUCUUUAGCAAAAUUAAUUAUUUUUAUUUGAUUUUAGUUUGUAUUUCGUUUUAUUUCUUCUUUUAAGGUAAUAUCAAUGCCAAUAAGUCAUCGUCCUUCCGCUCCAUAAUUAUUGUCGUGGUUUUACUUCAAAUUUGAAUUAAAACCAUAACAGUAAUUAUGGAACAGAGGGAGUACUUCUUAGAAAACAUUUUUUGCAAUUUUUUUAAUGUUAUAUACUUAAUCUUAUAUAUUAUAAAAAAACACAAUUUCAAGCACGUAUGCAUGUACUUUUUUAGGGGUACACGUACGCAUGUACUAGAAGGUGAUUGUGGUACAAUCUCACCUGGAAGCAUGUACUAGCAAUCAAGUACGCAACUACGGUUGAUUGUUUGGACAGUUAUAUGAAGUCUAUUCGAGAUGCUAAAAGGUUCAGUACAGAGGAAAUAAUUAAAGGUAAAAUGCCGGUUGCUGAUUGGGCUUUGCCUGAAGUGAGACCUGCCCCUAGUCCUAAACCUUGGCCUCCUCCGUCUACUGAGUAUGUUGCUCUAUCAGUUGGUGGUUCUUUCUCAGUGGAAUCUGACGCAACGGCGGCAGAAAUGAUUCUUAGACGACAUGACGGUUCACUUAUUUUUGCAGCAUAUCGGUUUAUUUUCAAUUGUAACGAUUCUCUGAAAGCUGAGAUUCAUGCAAUCAUGCAAGGGAUGACCCUAGCUAUACAACAUUCCACUCUUUCGGUCAUCGUUCAAUCUGACUCAAGUGAGGCGUUGUUAUGUCUAUCAGGGAACGGACUUCUUCGUUCUGCCUAUGGUCAUCUUGUGGCUGAAAUUAAGGAGUUGAUGAGACAUAGGGAGUUUAUUCCUCAUAAGUUGAAUAGGGAUCAAAACAGAGUUGCCGAUCGUUUGACAAAUUAUAGUCGUAUAGAGUGUACCACGGCUGUGUGAAUGCAUGUAGGACCACCAUGUAUUGAAGAUCUUUUACCUCUCAACUGUAACUCUCUCAAUAUGGAAUAAAACUUCUUUUCCCUCGAAAAAAAAGAGUACGUACAUAAUAUGAGCUCAUAACAUGCACCAAUCACUGUUGGAUUUAAUCAUGUCUUGUUCAGUCUGGCUCAGCUCAUCUCAUCUUACACAUGCGUAGGACAACUCAUCAUAGCACCGCUUGCUUAUGAAACAAUAUAUGAGAUUAAAGAAUUCAGCGACUCAACUUUACUAUUAAUUGGUGAAAGGAGAAGCAUGCACCGGCCGGUCCACAACUACUCAAGGGAAGCCUCGCUAGUACACAGAUCGACUCAAACAAACUGUGGUCAGUCGACUGACCAAAAUAUUGUCUUCAGUCGACUGUCCUCUAGCCGCUCCAAUUCUCUCCAACUUGGUAUCGGUCACCGGGAAACCACCAUGGCCGAGCCUUUCUCCUCCUCCGCUGCCACCAGCGCCGCUACGUCACCCGGUCUCGCUCUCCUCCACGGCGCCUGCCGCCGAGACCUCCUCUGCCACCUUCGCGGCCUCCUCGCCACCCUUCAUCUUCCGUACUAAUCCGUCUCUCCUCAGCGGCAGCUCCGCCUCGUCCGGAUCAUAGUUUGCUCCUCUCUUCUCCUCGGCCACCCUCACGCCUCCGCCGGCUCCUCGCCACCCAAUCUUUAAUGAUCAUAUGACCAAUCACAUCAAAUUCCUGCUGAACCCUGCCGAUCACAACUACCACAAGUGUUGCAGCAUUGUGUCAGCAAUAAUUUGAAUUGCUAGAGCAUGACCAUUGCAUUUGCAUCUCACAUUGUAAAACACACAGUUUCCUUCGCUUCAUGGUCUUUAUCUUCCCUUAUCUUGAUUGUCCAAUGUUUGAUCUUUAUGUUUUUUGGACUUCUCAUUGCAGAAAUGUUUCGGAGAAAUUCCCUUGAUUGUAAACUGCAGAGUUGGUAUACAUUUAUUUAUUUGGCCUUCUAUUCUACCUGCAGGAUGAGAAGGAUACCAUCACAAGCCUUGAUCUCUUGUACAUAAGGGUAGAGGUAAGUGGAAAAUCUAUUCUAAUCUGUAUCUUAUCUAGAUGAGUUUAAUUAAGCAUCAUUAUUUAAAAGUUUCUGCCCACAAGUGUUGAUUAUUUAAAUUUCUCCUGUUUUUAACAGUAUCAUUAGUUUGUAACUGGCUAAUCAGAAAAGGAAACUGAAUGCAGACUGAGAUUUUAAAAAGUGAAGCCACUCCUGCCAUGAGAUUACUCGAUGAAUUUCUGAAUAUUCAUGAUGGCUAUGAUGAUGACAAAUGACUAAAGGCAUGUAUAAAGCACAUGACUGAAAUUUUUCCGAGAGAGGACCCAUUCACCAUGGUCUUUCCUGCUGGGUUUGAGUUCGACAUGGAGAAAGUAUGCUAGUUGAAUGCAAGGCCCCUUAUCUUGAUGAAACUGGGAGUAUUUGAAUUGACGGUACUCGGGUGUGAGAAUUUAUGAAAUAGAACUAAAAAAACAGCUUCUUACUUACAUGGUACCCUUUUCUUUAUAGGGCUCCUACAUUCGUAGGUAUCUCCUAUAGUCAGUCACUCGGCCGUAUGAAAAAUUACUGUAAUCUCUUAACGUAUAGGCCAUCCCAUCAAUGCUACACAGUAAAACUUUGCCAGGCUGUUGUAGAUUUAACAAGAUAUUGACACCUAAAAAUGCAAUUUGCCUUAAAACAAAUAGUACAUGAAAAAUAACAUAAAGUAUUGCAGGGCAAAGAUAUUAUCACAUGCCUCAUGGUAAAUUGACUCCAGAGGUAACCAGUUAUCCUGUUAUCUGUUCAUACUUUUAAAGUGGGUGGUGACUAAUAUAUUAUUCCCUCCGUUCCUAAAUAUAAGUCUUUUUAGAGAUUCCACUACAAACUACAUACGAAUGUAUAUAGACAUAUUUUAAAGUGUAGGUUCACUCAUUUUGAUACGGAGGGAGUGCUUUGUAAAUCUAGUCUUCAAACUGAAAGAAAAUGAGAAGUACUUUGUCGUGGAAAAAAAACCUGAGUAAGGCACUGCACAUGGCAAAUAACUUUUUCGGUAAAAGUAGCUGGAGUUUUGCUUGUUUUCUACUAAAAGCCAUAAGUUAGGACAUUGUACACGCAUUAGGCACGGCCUGUACUCCAUGUGCUUGCUGGGCUUGAUAGUGCGAUGCUUGAAUUGCUGCACAUGCACAUGAAUCUCUUGGCCUUGGAAGUUAUAAAAGGCAACCAAUACUCAGAGAGAGCUCACACCGUUGAUGCUAACUGGCUAAGCUAAGGUUCAUGAAACAGCUAGUGCAUCCCAGGGAUCUAGGCAGCCGGUGAUUGCUCCAAAGGCGUUAUCUAGGCUUGGGAUACAUCUGGAAUAUGAGACUGCCAAUAUCAUCUUCUGCUUCUGAGAGAGAAAAGACUGCCCACGUCUGAAGCUGCCGCUUUCUUGGCUGCCCUGCAAUUCACGUUGUUGUGGUGCCAUUUCUUUUCCGAACCGGCCUUACCCCCUUUCCAUUAAAGAUAUAAUGGAAAUACAUCAACCCCGAAUUCAGCAGGACACGGGAAAGAAGGGGAAAGCGAGCUCGAGCACUUGCUAGGACCACUGAAACUCAUGGCACACACUCGCCAUCGAACUGUGCACCAUGGGGGCAGAAACCUAGUCAACAUGAUCCAGCAAGUCUAGACGUAUCACAACGUAGAUCGGGCGAAAAGCUCAAAGUAUCAGGAAGACAACUAAAGACCACCUUAGGGACGAAGUUCAAAAGACACAACAUACAAAGUAGUCCAGUAUCAAAACGACUGGUGACAAAAUCUUCGUUCCUCCCCUGCAACCGCCUGACUUGCAGCAUCAAAAAUUCUCAUCAGCAGACUGUUACCGCUAAGAUGUUCAGCUCCAGCCCUUUGCAAUAUCGUCUUUCUUUUGAAGACAUGCCCAGUAGAUAAGUGAAGUGCAAACAGAAAAAAAAAUCUCAAAUGGGCAAAGAUCUGCCCCCAGAACAACACCCACAGCACACCAUACAAUCCUGGCAUAGGGCACUGGAAAAAAGAUGCUAUCAAGUUUCAACAUUUUUGCAAAACGAACAGAUAGGAUUCCCAGGCCAUUUUCUUUGUCUCAUGACUCAUCACUUGCCUAGUUAAGACUGCAUCUUGAAACAAUUACCAAAGGAAUAUUUAAAUUUCGGUAACUUAGCCCCCCAAAUCCACUUGAAGUUACAUCCAACAAGAGGUUUCUACAGCCAUUUGUACAUGGAUUUGGUGGAGUAUCUGCCAUUCUUAUUGAGAUCCCAGAGCUAAGAUGUAAAUCAUUCACACAGACACCCACUUCAUGCCAUUGGGUAAGGAGAUCGGAACUAAGCCUUCUGCCAAAGAAACUUUUCACAUUAAUCUGGUUGAACUGAGAUACAAUGCAAUGAGGUUUGUUGCAAAUAUUAAACAGUUUAGGGAAUUGAUCACAUAAAGGUGUAUGACCAUUAAGGGAGUCUUUCCACAGUCUAGCAAUAUCAGUAGCCCCAAUACUAAAUCAAGUGAAUACCGAGAGAUUGGGAUGCGUACGAAAGCAUACCCACAUGAAGAAGUCUGUAAAGCUAGGGUUUUAGUUUGAAAUUUCAUAAGAGCCAGCGAAGAUGUUGAAAAGCUAUCUGAAUGCCUCAUUUUGGAUUCUUAUAAAUCUAAACUGCACUGCUACACAAAAUACAUGAACAAAUGAUUGGAAAAUUGUGACCCAACAGAGCAAAAUAUGAUUUAGGGAUUGCAUUAUAGCAGGGCAAGACACUACUUUAUAACCAGUAAGUCUCGAAGGAAAAUGCAUUUAUAUGAGUCUUUUUAAUCCAAAAAGGACAAAGCACCCACUCUUGAGUCUGGAAUUUUGGUUAAGUUCAAUGACCUUGAAAUCAUUUUGAUGUUGGAAAUUUUUUUUUCUCUUUUCGAAAAGGAGGAUAACCCCUAACCUCUACAUCGAGUGAUGCACACAACCAUAUAUUUUUUAUUAUUCAUCCAGCAACCGAACAACAUUGACCCGGAAAAAACCUGAGGCCGUAUGCUCGCGACAGUAACUCCACCAGAUAACCAAUACUAACGCUAUGAUAAAAGACAAACAAAAUGAAAAAUACACAACUCCUAGGCUAAGCCUUCAAGAAGGAAUCAACGCAUGUGCGCUAAUGAUGAUGAGUCCAACCCAAGGUCGAUCUCGGAAUUUUCAUCCCCAAAGCCAAGCUUCGAUCCGUCACCGUCUGCAAGGGCACGACGCAGGCGCGCACCGGCAUAGCCUGGUCGGAGAUCUAGUGUUUCCAUCAGAGCGCGCAUGUUCGGCAUUGAAGUCACCUCCACCAUCAACACUAGUCCGGCUACCAACACCUCACUAGCCAGAUACCACAAGUGGAGAUUUCGGAAGACAACAGCCACCGACAACCACCACCUCCCUGUUGAACGCCACUGCUAGACCGGCCGCAGGCUACUGUGCUGCCACGAAGCAACUGCCGCCGACAAACACCACCUCCCCGCUGCAAGUCGUUGUAGAUCCCUCUCCAAAGGCCCGAUGUCAUGAAGAAACGAGGUUGCCACGACCUCAGUGUCGCUGGCGCUGGUCCCUCCAAGCGAUGCAAGCUCCAGAAACGAUGACCUUAAGAGUGACGACGACGUAGAAGCACCGCCAUCGCUCCAUGCCGACGAGAUCUAAGGUUUCCCCCGGAAUUGCCUCGGUGGUCCACCUAGGCCGCCGCCGCCACCAGCCGUCCAUCAUGCCUUGUAGUAACAAGGCGUCGUCGCGAUAGUGCACCGCCUCGCCGUGGCGCCCAGCGGUCGAGCCACGCCCUAUCCCAGGAGCACCUGCCCGUGCAGAUCCCCACACGCGAGGGACAAAGAGGCCCCGUCGCCGCCGGCCAGCCUUCGCCCAUCCCCGCCCUUUGGCGGUGGCGAGGGAGGAACGGGGGUUGGGGGGCGGCGCCGAUUAGGGUUCCCCCUCCGCUGCCACGCUGGGGUGACGAGAGGACGACGCAAACUUAGGUGGCGUUUGGUUCAACGGCGAGGCUAGGUUGGCUAAGGAUAUCCUCAACCAGGUGGUUAAGGAUAACCACUUUUCGUUGUUUGGUUGGGUGGGAUUGGAUUAGUUGAAUAUCCAUGGUUUGUUGUUUGGUUGAAAGGAUAAGAAGUGGCUAAGGACAUGCCAAGUUUGGAAAAUAUACACAGCGCGCACACAUAAGCAGCCACACAAUCAUCCAUGAGUAUAAUAACAGAUCGGGCUGCAGUUCGUAGUGCAAAAAAUCAGAGAAUAUAAUUUUAUACUAGGGGAACUGGAGCAUGGGAAUUGAGAGGAUAGAGCCACCGAGCCAGCCUCAGCCUAACCCAUCAGGCACGCAAAGCUCGAUUGCGUGGUGGCCGUCGUCGAGGAGUGCGAGGCUCCGGCUGGAUCCGGUUCUACACCUUCACGAGCACUCAAGGGUGAUGGUGCCAUCGCAGAUCCGCCCAAAUCGCCAUCGCCGCCGCCUUCACGCCGGGCACGCACACUGCACACGAGAGAUGGCUGGAUUGACAAGUAGAGGAAGGGCAAGGCCUGUCCGCCGCUGCGCUUCUCCGGCCGGCGCCCGCCGGCGCCGCCGCCAAGCCCGGGGAGGAGGAGGAGAGGUGGAUAAACUGAGAGAUGCUUUUCUUUCGGGAGAGUUGACUGAACGGACGACUCAGGAUUCGCUUGCGACACGAACGUGGCUGCCCUCAUCUCCGCCAUAUUUUGCCGGCUCUUCCCAACCAGCUUUUUGAGGAAUAUUCUCAGCAUCUUGGCUAUCCCUAUCCUUUCAUCCCUCUAAACCAAACGGGUGACAUCCUUCAGAAAAUUGGCUAUCCCUGUCCAACUGAGGGAUAGCCGAUGAAUCAAACGCCACCGUAGAGUAUCUCUCUUUCGAUGUUAGAAGUGAUAAAAAUAUGGUUAUCUUACCUGUGUCUAAUGAACAUAUUGAGGAUUUACUACUGCUACUCUCACCUGUCAGUGAAGCACUGGCAUGUGCAUCCUGCGACAUGCUCCAUCCAUGUUUUAUUUACCUUUUUGCUUAUACAAAAAAUUGAACAGUCAAAAAAAAUCACGGGGGAAAAAGUUGGAAGAUAUGUUCCCUCAAAUUAUAAAAUUAAGUAAAUGUGCCGAAGACAACUUUUCAGUAACUCACUUUAUGAAAGAUUUGAGUUAAAUCAUUUAAUUAAUGCACUGCACAUCUAUAUGCAGGUGAUUGAGAAGGCUACUGAAAGUGGAGAGCUUACUGAACUUGUUCUCAUGAUCAUUUGGAAUCAAGUUGAUGUUGCUCGGGGUGAUGUAUGUAAAGCUCUGUUCUGAGUCAUGUUACCUAUAGAUCCUAUGGUUUGUAUACUUUUACGUGCAGUUCAAGUUCGAUCUUUUAACAUCUGGCAAAUCUAGUAUUAUAUAUAGUGUCAAAGCUUGUAGCCUUGUACUGUGCAAUUCAGGAUCCUGUUAUACAUUUAACAAGACAUUGUCACCUAAAAAUGCAAUUUCCCUUAAAGCAAAUAGUAAAGGAAAAAUAUCAGAAAAUAUUGCAGGGCAAAGACAUUAUCACAUCUCUCAUGGUAAAUUGACUCCAGAGAUAACCACUUGUCCUGUUAUCUGUUCAUACUUGUAAACUUAUCAUUCCGUAAUUGGAUUCUGAAUUUCCUACUCAGAUUACUUCCUUAUACCAUCAUGGUUCUUACAUGCUAUAGAACAAUUCUGAAAUUUUAGUUUUCCUUAUCAAUUUUCUUUUCAACAUGAUGGGCAGAUCAAGCUGUCUCCCCAGGACGAUGAUGUUCUUCUGAGAGUUGACUUUGUGAGGUAAGUAGAUGAGCUGCUGAAAGAAGUUGAAGCUGAGCAAGAAAAGAGUAAGCUGCAAACUGGAUACGACCCGGAGUCUGUUGUGACCAUGUUGAAACAGCAAGAGAAGCUGCGGACUAUACGUCAAGUGGAAGCUCUCUUGGAGU
Molecule: long non-coding RNA, 16389 nt
Filed under: Triticum aestivum (bread wheat)
Lineage: Eukaryota; Viridiplantae; Streptophyta; Magnoliopsida; Poales; Poaceae
Description: long non-coding RNA (TAES_LNC019464)
Source: RNAcentral